RNAcentral lists this ribosomal RNA (505 nucleotides) under uncultured bacterium. Its description in RNAcentral is "partial 16S ribosomal RNA". It matches the Rfam family "Bacterial small subunit ribosomal RNA", at positions 28 to 523 of the family's 1533-position model. The record is from RNAcentral.
GAUGAACGCUAGCUACAGGCUUAACACAUGCAAGUCGAGGGGUAACGAGAGGGAAGCUUGCUUUCCUUGUCGACGACCGGCGCACGGGUGAGUAACGCGUAUCCAACCUGCCCCCAACUAAGGAAUAACCUUGCGAAAGUAAGACUAAUACCCUAUAAUUUCCUCAGAUGACAUCUGACGAGGAAUAAAGAUUUAUCGGUUGUGGAUGGGGAUGCGUCUGAUUAGCUUGUUGGCGGGGUAACGGCCCACCAAGGCAACGAUCAGUAGGGGUUCUGAGAGGAAGGUCCCCACAUUGGAACUGAGACACGGUCCAAACUCCUACGGGAGGCAGCAGUGAGGAAUAUUGGUCAAUGGGCGGAAGCCUGAACCAGCCAAGUAGCGUGCAGGAUGACGGCCUUAUGGGUUGUAAACUGCUUUUAUACAGGAAUAAAGUUAGCCACGUGUGGUUAUUUGUAGGUACUGUAUGAAUAAGGACCGGCUAAUUCCGUGCCAGCCGCCGCAGUAA